This 878-nucleotide ribosomal RNA is filed under the name Phaeosphaeria pontiformis. RNAcentral's name for it is "LSU rRNA". It matches the Rfam family "Eukaryotic large subunit ribosomal RNA", at positions 36 to 932 of the family's 3401-position model. The record is from RNAcentral. Lineage: Eukaryota; Fungi; Ascomycota; Dothideomycetes; Pleosporales; Phaeosphaeriaceae.
UAGCAUAUCAAUAAGCGGAGGAAAAGAAACCAACAGGGAUUGCCCUAGUAACGGCGAGUGAAGCGGCAACAGCUCAAAUUUGAAAUCUGGCUCUUUUAGAGUCCGAGUUGUAAUUUGCAGAGGGCGCUUUGGCGUUGGCAGCGGUCCAAGUUCUUUGGAACAGGACGUCACAGAGGGUGAGAAUCCCGUACGUGGUCGCUAGCCUUCGCCGUGUAAAGCCCCUUCGACGAGUCGAGUUGUUUGGGAAUGCAGCUCUAAAUGGGAGGUAAAUUUCUUCUAAAGCUAAAUACUGGCCAGAGACCGAUAGCGCACAAGUAGAGUGAUCGAAAGAUGAAAAGCACUUUGGAAAGAGAGUCAAAUAGCACGUGAAAUUGUUGAAAGGGAAGCGCUUGCAGCCAGACUUGCCUGUAGUUGCUUAUCCGGACUUUUGUCCGGUGCACUCUUCUGCGGGCAGGCCAGCAUCAGUUUAGGCGGUUGGAUAAAGGUCUCUAUCACGUACCUCCCUUCGGGGUUGGCCUUAUAGGGGAGACGACAUGCAACCAGCCUGAACUGAGGUCCGCGCAUCUGCUAGGAUGCUGGCGUAAUGGCUGUAAGCGGCCCGUCUUGAAACACGGACCAAGGAGUCUAACAUCUAUGCGAGUGUUUGGGUGUCAAGCCCAGACGCGUAAUGAAAGUGAACGGAGGUGGGAACCUUUUAGGUGCACCAUCGACCGAUCCUGAUGUCUUCGGAUGGAUUUGAGUAAGAGCAUGGCUGUUGGGACCCGAAAGAUGGUGAACUAUGCUUGAAUAGGGUGAAGCCAGAGGAAACUCUGGUGGAGGCUCGCAGCGGUUCUGACGUGCAAAUCGAUCGUCAAAUUUGGGCAUAGGGGCGAAAGACU